AGAGUUUGAUCCUGGCUCAGAAUGAACGCUGGCGGCGUGCCUAACACAUGCAAGUCGGAUGUGCCUUUCGGGGUGCAUGGCAGACGGGUGAGUAACGCGUAGGGAAUCUACCUUUUCGUGGGGAAUAACGUUCCGAAAGGAAUGGUAAUACCGCAUAAGACCAAUGGCUGGGAUGCUGUUGGUGAAAGCCGGGGACCUUCGGGCCUGGCGCGAGAAGAGGAUCCUGCGUCUGAUUAGCUAGUUGGUGGGGUAACGGCCUACCAAGGCGACGAUCAGUAGCCGGCCUGAGAGGGUGAUCGGCCACACUGGAACUGAGACACGGUCCAGACUCCUACGGGAGGCAGCAGUGGGGAAUUUUGCGCAAUGGACGAAAGUCUGACGCAGCAACGCCGCGUGGGUGACGAAGGUCUUCGGAUCGUAAAACCCUGUCGUCAGGGACGAAGGUAGGGAGUUUAAUACGCUCUUUGCUUGACGGUGCCUGGAGAGGAAGCCCCGGCUAACUCUGUGCCAGCAGCCGCGGUAAUACAGAGGGGGCAAGCGUUAUUCGGAAUUAUUGGGCGUAAAGGGCGCGUAGGCGGUUCUGUAAGUAGGAUGUGCAAUCCCCGAGCUCAACUUGGGAACUGCAUCCUAGACUGCAAGACUAGAGUGCUGGAGAGGGUGGUAGAAUUCCACGUGUAGCGGUGAAAUGCGUAGAGAUGUGGAGGAAUACCAGUGACGAAGGCGGCCACCUGGACAGUAACUGACGCUGAGGCGCGAAAGUGUGGGUAGCAAACAGGAUUAGAUACCCUGGUAGUCCACGCUGUAAACGAUGAACACUUGGUGUGGCGGGAGUUGACCCCUGCCGUGCCGGAGCUAACGCGUUAAGUGUUCCGCCUGGGGAGUACGGCCGCAAGGUUAAAACUCAAAGGAAUUGACGG
RNAcentral lists this ribosomal RNA (917 nucleotides) under uncultured Acidobacteriota bacterium. RNAcentral describes it as "bacterial SSU rRNA". It matches the Rfam family "Bacterial small subunit ribosomal RNA", at positions 8 to 916 of the family's 1533-position model. Lineage: Bacteria; Pseudomonadati; Acidobacteriota. The record is from RNAcentral.